GAUGAAGAACGUAGUGAAAUGCGAUAAGUAGUGUGAAUUGCAGAAUUCAGUGAAUCAUCGAAUCUUUGAACGCACAUUGCGCCCCUUGGUAUUCCAUGGGGCAUGCCUGUUCGAGCGUCAUUUGUACCUUCAAGCUCUGCUUGGUGUUGGGUGUUUGUCUCGCCUCUGCGUGUAGACUCGCCUCAAAACAAAUGGCAGCCGGCGUAUUGAUUUCGGAGCGCAGUACAUCUCGCGCUUUGCACUCAUAACGACGACGUCCAAAAGUACAUUUUUACACUCUUGACCUCGGAUCAGGUAGGGAUACCCGCUGAACUUAAGCAUAUCAAUAAGCGGAGGA
This 337-nucleotide unclassified non-coding RNA is filed under the name soil metagenome. RNAcentral describes it as "partial contains 5.8S ribosomal RNA, internal transcribed spacer 2, and large subunit ribosomal RNA". The stretch from base 1 to 120 matches the Rfam family "5.8S ribosomal RNA", at positions 35 to 154 of the family's 154-position model. The record is from RNAcentral.